Molecule: ribosomal RNA, 253 nt
Filed under: uncultured prokaryote
Description: partial 16S ribosomal RNA
Rfam family: Bacterial small subunit ribosomal RNA
Source: RNAcentral
ACGAAGGGUGCAAGCGUUAAUCGGAAUUACUGGGCGUAAAGGGUGCGUAGGCGGUUCGUUAAGUCUGUCGUGAAAUCCCCGGGCUCAACCUGGGAAUGGCGAUGGAUACUGGCGAGCUAGAGUGUGUCAGAGGAUGGUGGAAUUCCCGGUGUAGCGGUGAAAUGCGUAGAUAUCAGGAGGAACACCUGUGGCGAAAGCGGCUCACUGGACCAUAACUGACGCUGAUGCACGAAAGCUAGGGGAGCAAACAGGA